RNAcentral lists this ribosomal RNA (468 nucleotides) under uncultured bacterium. Its description in RNAcentral is "partial 16S ribosomal RNA". It matches the Rfam family "Bacterial small subunit ribosomal RNA", at positions 28 to 507 of the family's 1533-position model. The record is from RNAcentral.
GACGAACGCUGGCGGCGUGCUUAACACAUGCAAGUCGAACGGAAAGGCCCUGCUUUUGUGGGGUGCUCGAGUGGCGAACGGGUGAGUAACACGUGAGUAACCUGCCCUUGACUUUGGGAUAACUUCAGGAAACUGGGGCUAAUACCGGGUAGGAGCUCCUGCUGCAUGGUGGGGGUUGGAAAGUUUCGGCGGUUGGGGAUGGACUCGCGGCUUAUCAGCUUGUUGGUGGGGUAGUGGCUUACUAAGGCUUUGACGGGUAGCCGGCCUGAGAGGGUGACCGGCCACAUUGGGACUGAGAUACGGCCCAGACUCCUACGGGAGGCAGCAGUGGGGAAUAUUGCACAAUGGGCGGAAGCCUGAUGCAGCAACGCCGCGUGCGGGAUGACGGCCUUCGGGUUGUAAACCGCUUUCGCCUGUGACGAAGCGUGAGUGACGGUAAUGGGUAAAGAAGCACCGGCUAACUACGUG